Molecule: transfer RNA, 91 nt
Filed under: bacterium
Lineage: Bacteria
Also listed under: 1 other name
Description: tRNA-Leu
Rfam family: tRNA
About the family: Transfer RNA (tRNA) molecules are approximately 80 nucleotides in length.
Source: RNAcentral
GCAGAUGUGGCGGAACAGGUAGACGCAAGGGACUUAAAAUCCCUCGGACAUUUAAACGUCCGUGCCGGUUCGAUUCCGGCCAUCUGCACCA